This 76-nucleotide transfer RNA is filed under the name Candidatus Curtissbacteria bacterium RIFCSPHIGHO2_02_FULL_40_16b. RNAcentral's name for it is "tRNA-Lys". It matches the Rfam family "tRNA". From Rfam's summary of the family: Transfer RNA (tRNA) molecules are approximately 80 nucleotides in length. Their secondary structure includes four short double-helical elements and three loops (D, anti-codon, and T loops). Further hydrogen bonds mediate the characteristic L-shaped molecular structure. tRNAs have two regions of fundamental functional importance: the anti-codon, which is responsible for specific mRNA codon recognition, and the 3' end, to which the tRNAs corresponding amino acid is attached (by aminoacyl-tRNA synthetases). tRNAs cope with the degeneracy of the genetic code in two manners: having more than one tRNA (with a specific anti-codon) for a particular amino acid; and 'wobble' base-pairing, i.e. permitting non-standard base-pairing at the 3rd anti-codon position. Lineage: Bacteria; Candidatus Curtissiibacteriota. RNAcentral also lists the same sequence under 2 other names. The record is from RNAcentral.
GGGGGUAUAGCUCAAUUGGUAGAGCAACGACCUCUUAAGUCGUCGGUUCAGGGUUCGAGUCCCUGUGCCCCCACCA